This 458-nucleotide ribosomal RNA is filed under the name uncultured bacterium. RNAcentral describes it as "partial 16S ribosomal RNA". It matches the Rfam family "Bacterial small subunit ribosomal RNA", at positions 339 to 795 of the family's 1533-position model. The record is from RNAcentral.
CUACGGGUCGCUGCAGUGAGGAAUAUUGGUCAAUGGGCGAAAGCCUGAACCAGCCAUCCCGCGUGCAGGAUGACGGCCCUACGGGUUGUAAACUGCUUUUAUACAGGAAGAAACCUCUCUACGUGUAGAGAGUUGACUGUACUGUAAGAAUAAGCAUCGGCUAACUCCGUGCCAGCAGCCGCGGUAAUACGGAGGAUGCAAGCGUUAUCCGGAUUCAUUGGGUUAAAGGGUGCGCAGGCGGAAAUCUAAGUCAGUGGUGAAAUCCUGCGGCUUAACCGUAGAACUGCCAUUGAUACUGGUUUUCUUGAAUACAGUUGAGGUAGGCGGAAUGUGUAGUGUAGCGGUGAAAUGCUUAGAUAUUACACAGAACACCGAUUGCGAAGGCAGCUUACUAAACUGUUAUUGACGCUGAGGCACGAAAGCGUGGGGAGCGAACAGGAUUAGAUACCCCUGUAGUC